UACGAAGGGGGCUAGCGUUGCUCGGAAUCACUGGGCGUAAAGCGCACGUAGGCGGAUUUCUAAGUCAGGGGUGAAAUCCUGGAGCUCAACUCCAGAACUGCCUUUGAUACUGGGAAUCUCGAGUCCGGGAGAGGUGAGUGGAACUGCGAGUGUAGAGGUGAAAUUCGUAGAUAUUCGCAAGAACACCAGUGGCGAAGGCGGCUCACUGGCCCGGUACUGACGCUGAGGAGCGAAAGCGUGGGGAGCGAACAGG
This 253-nucleotide ribosomal RNA is filed under the name uncultured bacterium. Its description in RNAcentral is "partial 16S ribosomal RNA". It matches the Rfam family "Bacterial small subunit ribosomal RNA", at positions 524 to 776 of the family's 1533-position model. The record is from RNAcentral.